Molecule: ribosomal RNA, 380 nt
Filed under: uncultured bacterium
Lineage: Bacteria
Description: bacterial SSU rRNA
Rfam family: Bacterial small subunit ribosomal RNA
Source: RNAcentral
AUUAAACGCUGGCGGCAUGCCUUACACAUGCAAGUCGAACGGCAGCACGGGGGCAACCCUGGUGGCGAGUGGCGAACGGGUGAGUAAAGCAUCGGAACGUGCCCUGGAGUGGGGGAUAACGUAGCGAAAGUUACGCUAAUACCGCAUAUUCUGUGAGCAGGAAAGCAGGGGAUCGCAAGACCUUGCGCUUUGGGAGCGGCCGAUGUCGGAUUAGCUAGUUGGUGGGGUAAAGGCCUACCAAGGCGACGAUCCGUAGCGGGUCUGAGAGGAUGAUCCGCCACACUGGGACUGAGACACGGCCCAGACUCCUACGGGAGGCAGCAGUGGGGAAUUUUGGACAAUGGGCGCAAGCCUGAUCCAGCCAUGCCGCGUGAGUGAGG